UUCUCUGCCUUGUGGUAUCUGUUCUUAUCAGUUUAAUAUCUGAUCCGUCUUCUAUAUGAGGACUACAUAUUAAAUUGAUUUUUAGGACAGGGAGACGGAACAGGGGCUUGCGCCAUCCGCUCUACGCAUCGAACUGGUAUCGCAGUAACUCCGGGAAUGGUGCACCAUCU
Molecule: small nuclear RNA, 170 nt
Organism: Pygocentrus nattereri (red-bellied piranha)
Lineage: Eukaryota; Metazoa; Chordata; Actinopteri; Characiformes; Serrasalmidae
Gene: U2
Rfam family: U2 spliceosomal RNA
About the family: U2 is a small nuclear RNA (snRNA) component of the spliceosome (involved in pre-mRNA splicing). Complementary binding between U2 snRNA (in an area lying towards the 5' end but 3' to hairpin I) and the branchpoint sequence (BPS) of the intron results the bulging out of an unpaired adenosine, on the BPS, which initiates a nucleophilic attack at the intronic 5' splice site, thus starting the first of two transesterification reactions that mediate splicing.
Source: Ensembl